This 604-nucleotide ribosomal RNA is filed under the name Lyngbya majuscula. RNAcentral describes it as "bacterial SSU rRNA". It matches the Rfam family "Bacterial small subunit ribosomal RNA", at positions 122 to 759 of the family's 1533-position model. The record is from RNAcentral. Lineage: Bacteria; Bacillati; Cyanobacteriota; Cyanophyceae; Oscillatoriales; Microcoleaceae.
GAAUCUGCCUUCAGGUCUGGGACAACAGAAGGAAACUUCUGCUAAUCCCGGAUGAGCCUAAUGGUAAAAGAUAAAUUGCCUGGAGAUGAGCUCGCGUCUGAUUAGCUAGUUGGUGAGGUAAAAGCUUACCAAGGCGACGAUCAGUAGCUGGUCUGAGAGGAUGAGCAGCCACACUGGGACUGAGACACGGCCCAGACUCCUACGGGAGGCAGCAGUGGGGAAUUUUCCGCAAUGGGCGAAAGCCUGACGGAGCAAGACCGCGUGGGGGAGGAAGGCUUUAGGGUUGUAAACCCCUUUUCUUUGGGAAGAAGUUCUGACGGUACCAAAGGAAUCAGCCUCGGCUAACUCCGUGCCAGCAGCCGCGGUAAUACGGAGGAGGCAAGCGUUAUCCGGAAUGAUUGGGCGUAAAGCGUCCGCAGGUGGCCAUGUAAGUCUGCUGUCAAAACCCAAGGCUCAACUCUGGUCAGGCAGUGGAAACUACAAAGCUAGAGUCUGGUAGGGGCAAAGGGAAUUCCCGGCGUAGCGGUGAGAUGCCUAAAUUUCGGGAAGAACAUCGGUGGCGAAAGCGCUUUGCUAGACCAGAACUGACACUCAUGGACGAAAG